GUCUGCUGGCUGACAGCAGCCACAUGGCCCAACCAACCAGCAGAUACACGGGAGAAGCCACCGGGACCGGUCAGUGGCUACAGGACCCAGCAAUGACUGGACGUGCGAGGCAGCCCAGGAAAUAAAAGGUGCUGCAGAGAACAGGACAAUCAAGUUUAUGAAAGAAAAAAGUGCAGAGACAGAUUAAAAGUCAAAUUCUUCCUUCUGUCUUCCCACUGUCCAAGUUACCAAAGACCCAGUCUUCUUUACAAGACCUGUAGGAACAUCCCUGCCUUGUCUGGUCCCACGCAGUGACAAAUACUGUUGACUGCCAGAGCCAAAAGCCACCAGACACCAACGUCCUCCUUCCCAGUUGACUCCCUCUUCAGCUCCAGCUGACCCUGAUUCUGGCCAGUGAUAUGGGUCUGAGACUCAGCCCUGGUAAAAUAAACUCAGCUAGGACUUCUGGGAAAGGGCAUAUUUGCUAACAGAAGGAGACACACAGCAGGAAAAAACUGUAUUUUCUUCACAGUUGCCAUCACGUUUGCAUGUGAUGCUUGAACCUGCAGUAGCUUCCUUCUGACUGAGAUCAUGAGGAGAGAUCUGAGGAUCGGGGUGCAUAAAGAUGACAGCACCUGGGUCUCUGAUGACAUUCUUAAGCUACUGAAAAGGUUGUAGAGUCCUACAACCUCCUCACCUUCCUCCAGACUUCCUGCUCAGAGAUGAGGAAAAUCCUUGCUGCCUAAACUCCUUUUAGAUAGACACUGCUAUUGUCAGAAAAGCAUCUGUAUUAGUCAUCUUUCCUGUUGCUAUGACAAAAUGCCUAACACCUGCACAACGGAGCCAUAAUUCAUAUGCCUCUCUGCAGGGGGAGCUCUGAUUUGAAUGUCAUGUUCCCACCAGCUUGAACCACCAGUGUUACGUGCAUGACUGUCCCAUAAGAAGGUAUGAGAUAGUCCAAUCAGGUGGUACAAGUAGGCAGGAACACGUUAAAGGAGAAAAGAUCUUGGCUCAUGGCUUCAGGGGAUUCAGUCAAUGGCAGACAGUUCCCCAAGGCAUGAAUGGCAAGUCAGAAAUGCAUGUGCAGGAAAGCUGCUUAACCCAUGGCAACCAAGAAGCAGAGGAAGAAGCACUGAGACAGCAUCCUUGUACACAUCAUCUUGUGAACAACUGGCAUUUGUUUCUCUAGAAGACAUG
Long non-coding RNA from Fukomys damarensis (Damara mole-rat), 1176 nucleotides. RefSeq lists it as uncharacterized. The record is from RefSeq and is a predicted model, not a curated record. NCBI's taxonomy places the organism in Eukaryota, Metazoa, Chordata, Mammalia, Rodentia, Bathyergidae. The transcript is spliced from 3 exons.